UACGAAGGGGGCUAGCGUUGCUCGGAAUCACUGGGCGUAAAGGGCGCGUAGGCGGCCUGCUAAGUCGAGCGUGAAAUCCCUGGGCUCAACCCAGGAACUGCGUCCGAUACUGGUUGGCUUGAAUCCGGGAGAGGGACGUGGAAUUCCAGGUGUAGCGGUGAAAUGCGUAGAUAUCUGGAGGAACACCGGUGGCGAAGGCGACGUCCUGGACCGGCAUUGACGCUGAGGCGCGAAAGCCAGGGGAGCAAACGGG
RNAcentral lists this ribosomal RNA (253 nucleotides) under uncultured bacterium. Its description in RNAcentral is "partial 16S ribosomal RNA". It matches the Rfam family "Bacterial small subunit ribosomal RNA", at positions 524 to 776 of the family's 1533-position model. The record is from RNAcentral.